Molecule: ribosomal RNA, 433 nt
Filed under: uncultured bacterium
Lineage: Bacteria
Description: partial 16S ribosomal RNA
Rfam family: Bacterial small subunit ribosomal RNA
Source: RNAcentral
AGCGAACGCUGGCGGCAGGCCUAACACAUGCAAGUCGAACGGACCCUUCGGGGUUAGUGGCGGACGGGUGAGUAACACGUGGGAACAUGCCUUUAGGUUCGGAAUAGCUCCUGGAAACGGGUGGUAAUGCCGAAUGUGCCCUUCGGGGGAAAGAUUUAUCGCCUUUAGAGCGGCCCGCGUCUGAUUAGCUAGUUGGUGAGGUAACGGCUCACCAAGGCGACGAUCAGUAGCUGGUCUGAGAGGAUGACCAGCCACACUGGGACUGAGACACGGCCCAGACUCCUACGGGAGGCAGCAGUGGGGAAUCUUGCGCAAUGGGCGAAAGCCUGACGCAGCCAUGCCGCGUGAAUGAUGAAGGUCUUAGGAUUGUAAAAUUCUUUCACCGGGGACGAUAAUGACGGUACCCGGAGAAGAAGCCCCGGCUAACUUCGUG